RNAcentral lists this small nucleolar RNA (148 nucleotides) under Stegastes partitus (bicolor damselfish). Lineage: Eukaryota; Metazoa; Chordata; Actinopteri; Pomacentridae. The record is from RNAcentral.
CUUCAGUGAUGAUACGAUGACGAGACAGAGCAGGACUGGUCUGGUUCUGCAGGUUACUGGUUCUGGUCCACGUUCUGUGGUUCUGCUCCAGUUCCUCAGAUCAGCAGGUUCUCUCACGUGAAGACACAGAGGCAUUUGUCUGAGAAGG